GUCUAUGGCCAUACCACCCUGAACGUGCCCAAUCUCGUCUGAUCUUGGAAGCUAAGCAAGGUCAGGCCUGGUUAGUACUUGGAAACAGGUUAUUUACC
This 98-nucleotide ribosomal RNA is filed under the name Heterocephalus glaber (naked mole-rat). The record is from RNAcentral. Lineage: Eukaryota; Metazoa; Chordata; Mammalia; Rodentia; Bathyergidae.